This is a non-coding RNA of Morchella snyderi, 82 nucleotides long. The record is from the annotation of a GenBank genome assembly. NCBI's taxonomy places the organism in Eukaryota, Fungi, Ascomycota, Pezizomycetes, Pezizales, Morchellaceae.
UCCGUUGUGGUGUAAUGGUUAGCAUCAGUCGCUCUCAUGAAAAUGAUCCGACUAGAUCGGGGUUCAAUUCCCCGCAACGGAA